Non-coding RNA from Heligmosomoides polygyrus, 71 nucleotides. The record is from Rfam. Lineage: Eukaryota; Metazoa; Nematoda; Chromadorea; Rhabditida; Heligmosomidae.
GCGAUGUUCGUGUAAGGCGAACAUCGCUGCCCGGAAAGCAGAAGAUGCGGGUUCGAGUCCCGCCUGGCGCA